AUGGCCCCUUCUCCCUGGCCUCCUGGCAAUACCACAUCACUCACUGCGCAGGGAGUGGCCCAGCACCCGACUGGGGGACACACACAGACCACCUCCUCCUGUCCAGGGCUGGACUUUGAUGAGAGCUGUGCUGAGGCCCAGGAUGGGGAGCUGGAUGGGGAGCUGGAUGGGGAGCUGGAUGGGCUGUGGACAACCAUCACCAUCUUCAUCACCCUCUUCCUGCUCAGCGUGUGCUACAGCGCCACGGUCACCCUCCUCAAGGUUGGCACACUGCCCCCAAUGCCCAUGCUACCCGUGCUGUCCCUGUGAUGGCCCACACUGAUCCAUGCUGUCC
Molecule: non-coding RNA, 334 nt
Organism: Heterocephalus glaber (naked mole-rat)
Lineage: Eukaryota; Metazoa; Chordata; Mammalia; Rodentia; Bathyergidae
Source: the annotation of a RefSeq genome assembly